AUUGAACGCUGGCGGCAUGCCUUACACAUGCAAGUCGAACGGCGCGGCGGACGGGUGAGUAAUGCCUAGGAACCUGCCCGGUAGUGGGGUAUAACUCCCGGAAAGGGGCGCUAAUACCGCAUACUAUCAGAUCAGCCUAGGUCGGAUUAGCUAGUUGGUGGGGUAACGGCCUACCAAGGCGACGAUCCGUAACUGGUCUGAGAGGAUGAUCAGUCACACUGGGACUGAGACACGGUCCAGACUCCUACGGGAGGCAGCAGUGGGGAAUAUUGGACAAUGGGCGAAAGCCUGAUCCAGCCACGCCGCGUGUGUGAAGAAGGUCUUCGGAUUGUAAAGCACUGUUGGUAGGGAAGCGGUACCAAAAGAAUAAGCACCGGCUAACUACGUGCCAGCAGCCGCGGUAAUAC
Molecule: ribosomal RNA, 407 nt
Filed under: uncultured bacterium
Lineage: Bacteria
Description: partial 16S ribosomal RNA
Rfam family: Bacterial small subunit ribosomal RNA
Source: RNAcentral